AUUAUAAAGAGGUAUGAUUGUUUUCCCAAUGAAAGUAUUGCAUAUAGAGUUAUAUUGACCAUUACCUGUGACAGUUGCAUUGGCAGAAAGAACUUUUUUUCUAAAUUGAAGCUAUUGAAGUCCUAUAUGCGUGCUACCAUGACACAACAAAGACUCAAUGAUUUGGCCACAGUAGCACUUGAGAGUGAAUUGUUGGAGAAGAUUGAUUACGAGGAUAUCAUCGAAGAUUUCAUUUCAAAGAAUACUAAAAGAAUGAGUAUGUUCAAAUAA
RNAcentral lists this ribosomal RNA (270 nucleotides) under Triticum aestivum (bread wheat). Its description in RNAcentral is "partial small subunit ribosomal RNA". The record is from RNAcentral. Lineage: Eukaryota; Viridiplantae; Streptophyta; Magnoliopsida; Poales; Poaceae.